GAAGAGUACUGAGAUAAUUCUUGGGAUACACUCUAAGCCCCAUUAUUUCUACUACAUACCCACAGCAAGGAGUCAUUAAGAUAUUUGAAGCAAUCCCUGACUGCCAUUUUAUGAUACAAUAAAAUAUGAUAAUAUUAAACUGAAUAUGAUACUUCAACUGAAGUGUCUGUUAUGUGAGAGAAGAAAAAUAAUGAUCAAGUAGUGUAACAAAAGUGGCGUACUGCGAGGGCUUUGGCUUACUUGCACUUUUUAUAAAUACAACUGUGUUAACUAAACUUUGAAAAUAUUUUCAGUUUGAGAAAUAAAACCCACAAAAAGUGACUGUAUGCAGUAGUUCUGGUUUUGAGAUGAAGUCCUGAAUAGCUGCAUUUGGUUCACAAAGUUUGUUUGGGAUAUUCCCCCAACCUUCUUUUCAAAAACUACUUCUUGUUGUAGAAGAUUCUCUAGCAAUGGGAUUAACACCGUAAUAAACAGAAUGUGAUCAGAGGGAAGUAAAGAAAUUGAGAAUGGAGUAAGUCAUUACCAUAACUGUAACUUGAUGUGCAUUUACCAUUCAAACAGAAUUAUUUAAGGGAAAGUUCUUUACCAAGGGAAAAGAAAACAUUUAUCAGGAGAAGCAGCUACUGAAGAGGUAAUGGAAGGGGUAGUGCUCUUUCUUUGAAAGGUGUAUUGCCCACUGUGUUCUACACUGCUUUUUACACUUAACAACAUCUUCCUGGCCCAGAGAAGUAGUGGCUAAAUACUCUAGACACAUAUAACACCAAAUUAAUUGCAUUGCUGUCUAUAUAAUUUCUGGACAAGUCAUCACCAUUCUAUUUUAUGACAGCAUUGGCCGGAGAUUAUGAUCCAGAGACUUGCAGAAAGACGAUGGCUGUGAAACAUCCUGAAGUAUCCACUUAUUUGCACCUUCACAGCAAUAGUAAAAGUUUGCAGCUUCAGUAUCUUCCAUGGAAUAGCUCCUGCCACAGAUGAUCUCAGGCAUUACAACAUUUUUGGCUCCGAUACAUUAUUGUUAAAGAAGGACAGUAAAUGAUGCAGAGAAAAUUACACUGUGAAAUGAGCAGACCAAGUUUUAAAAAAGCAGGGCGAGGGGGAUUUCACUGUGCACAUGGAUUCCUCAUGCCUAGAAGUUCUGAUCCUGUAAAUACAGAAGAAAUCAAGCACUUCCCCAAAACCUGAAGAAGAAACAUGAUCAGAUCUAUUAAAAACAAAGUUCCUGGAGUGCUGAUCACCCUUGACUGAAUGCUGGAAUUGCCAUAUAAGCCAUCAUUCAUCCUCAAAUUAGAAUGAACAAACUGUUAAGAAUGUGAUUGAGGGGAUCAUCUUUCAGCAUAAAAAGUAUUUCACAUUGCUUGAACAUAUGAUUGUCCUAUUUCUUGGCAUUUAAUAGAUAUGAUUUAUUAUGACAUUACAAUAUUUUUCAUGAAAGCAAUACUAUUAAUCUUAAAAUCAUUAAAAUCUUAGGGAAGGGUCACUAAACAUUUUGCUACUUGAAAUAUGUCAAUUUUCCUGGCCAGCUGUCACAGGAAGUGUUGUUUACCUUACUGCACCUUAAUAGACAGUAGAUCCCAUGCUGUCGGAUAUGACUUUUCUCUGUUGUUCAAAAUUUAGGGGAUAGCAGUAGUACUUUGAACAGUUGGUGAGCAUGACACAGAGCCCAUAAUUUGAAGCAUGAUACUAAAGUUUGUCAGAUGCUUUGGAACUCUUCAAAGAAACAGAACUGACUUCUUUUAUAACAGGUGAUUUGUUUUGACUUUCAUAUAUGUAUUAAAAGCUUCUUCUGACUUAAAUAUAAGCCUUCUGUUUCUGUCCAAGGUCAGGAAUUGAUUUGUGCUAUGGCCUGAAUAAAAAACUCUGCCUUGCUUGCCACAGUCAGAGUGCCUGGGUCAGAGUGUCUGGGACCUCCUGCAUCUUCAGCUCCAGGAGCAUGUCAUUCAGAUGUCUUAACUUUGCAAAGUUCAGCAGAAGGGAUAAACAGUAAUGUUUGCAACAGAAGCUCCUCACAUGUUUUGUACUGCAUGCAAAUAUUUUCCCACUUCUAACAUUCCCUGAUAUAUAUGUUCCCA
Molecule: long non-coding RNA, 2066 nt
Filed under: Taeniopygia guttata (zebra finch)
Lineage: Eukaryota; Metazoa; Chordata; Aves; Passeriformes; Estrildidae
Description: lncRNA (ENSTGUG00000026884.1)
Source: RNAcentral